AGAGUUAAGUGUCCAAGGGUUGU
RNAcentral lists this non-coding RNA (23 nucleotides) under Cricetulus griseus (Chinese hamster). Lineage: Eukaryota; Metazoa; Chordata; Mammalia; Rodentia; Cricetidae. The record is from RNAcentral.